Molecule: long non-coding RNA, 188 nt
Organism: Sinocyclocheilus grahami
Lineage: Eukaryota; Metazoa; Chordata; Actinopteri; Cypriniformes; Cyprinidae
Exons: 3
Source: RefSeq, a predicted model, not a curated record
UUCAUGUGAGCGCUCACCUCGUGAACAUGGUCAGUUUCUCUGUGAGAUAUUCAGAGGAUUUCCCUGCGCUCAAUGUCGCUCAGUAUCGCGGACAGGAUCCCAGAAUUCUCAUCAUAAGCACAGUUCCUGGAGUUACUGGUGUUCUGUUGGUGCUGGUGUUGUUUCUGAUGUUUACAGCGUCGUCUUAC